AAUUAAAAUUAAUAUUUUACUUACAGUACACCAGAGAUGACUGUAGAGGUUGGAUGAAGAAAUAUGAUUGACCAUGAUCACCUAAAUAAUUUUAUUGUGAAUUUAUUAGUGCUAAUUCAAAUAAAAAUAAAUUUAAAGAGGCAAUCUUAAUUUAUGCCGAAAAUUCGGCAGAAUUUUUCCUAUACCUGGGAUCUACCUAACCUGCGAAAAGAUUCAAAUAACACUUUUAAAAUCUCAAUUUCUAUAAUCACAUCUCAUUAACAUUAUAUGGCCCCUCCUGAGCCCUCCAAAUCAAAAAAUAGUCAUAAACUUGAAAAAUUACGUUUUAAUUCUUAUAAUUGACAUUUUAGAAAAAUCCACUCAAAUAAGCUUUAAAAAUUCUGAAAUUUUGCCUCGCGGUCCUUAAUAGGGUUAUAAGACUAUUGCAAAAAGAAUUAUAAUUU
RNAcentral lists this unclassified non-coding RNA (443 nucleotides) under Hevea brasiliensis (rubber tree). Lineage: Eukaryota; Viridiplantae; Streptophyta; Magnoliopsida; Malpighiales; Euphorbiaceae. The record is from RNAcentral.